RNAcentral lists this long non-coding RNA (3356 nucleotides) under Manihot esculenta (cassava). Its description in RNAcentral is "long non-coding RNA (MESC_LNC001285)". The record is from RNAcentral. Lineage: Eukaryota; Viridiplantae; Streptophyta; Magnoliopsida; Malpighiales; Euphorbiaceae.
GAUUUAAUGUCUUUAUUUUAUGAAUUUAUGCUUAUUAUUUAGGUGUGUAUCUUAGUUUUAUUUAUGCAUUUAGAUAUUUAUUCAUUUCACAAACUUUGCAAAAUUUUCAAAAAAAAAAAAAUGUAGCAAUAGGCUGUUAUUUUAAUGAACUACAGCCAUUACAAGCCAGUUUUGGUUGCCUGCUGCUAUUUGAAUCUGUGUCAAGAACUUCUUUCCAUAUGCUUUCGAGAUUAUCUUAUUUACCUCAUCCAUUUGUUAAAAUGUGGGAGCCUUUCUUUUUCAACUUAUUUAGGCGUGUACAAUUGCUUUCUAGAGACUAUUUUUCAGCCCUUGUUUAUCACUAUUCAGCCCAACAUGCCUAGCUAUUUUUCGUACUUGGGCUCCAAUGGUGGAUGCUAUAUACAUGUGGAUCCAUGCGACAAAGUCUUAUUUUGGCUGUCAUCUUUGCUACUUGGGCUUGGGUAUGGGUGUUGGAAAUGGAUACACAUCCAUGUGUUAGACUUGUAAACUUUCUAAAUAGAAAAUACUAGGUUAUGAUAAAAGUUUAGACAUGAGAGUUUAGAUGCGUUAUGUAAAUGAAAUAAAAUAAAAGGUAUAAAAUUGUGUAAUAGUGACUACUAUGAAUUAUGUUUGUGCCUAAUUCAUUUUUCAGUAUUACUUGGCUUAAUUUAUUUAUAAAAAAAUUAAGAAUUAAUUUAAUAUAUUACUUAAUUAAUAUGUGUUGACUUAUUUGCUAAUCCUAAUUGAUUCUAGGGAUUUGAUUUGAUUUGAUUAGGAUCCUUAAUUAUCUCUGUAAUUAUUAUUUGAUUAUUUGCUUCCUGUUUAGAUAUGAUUCUUUGUGUAUAAAUAGCCAUGUAGACAUAUUGUACAAAUCAAGAGUGAAAUACAAGAAUACUCAAUAUUCUUCCAAAAAUCUUCAAUAUGAUAUAUUAAAUAUAUCCUUAAAAUUUUUUAAGGGUCAUUUUAUUGUUGUUAGUAGAACAUAUAUAUAUAUAUAUUUUUAAAAAAUAUAGUCAAUGAUCUUUUCAUUUCCUAAGGAUUCUUACAUUUUCAAUGAUUUAUCAAUUGAAACACUCAGUCCAAGAAGCACUUGCUUGCGAUGCCAAUAGUCCACUAUACUACCUACUUCAUUAACAUAGAAAAAUAAACAAGUCAAGGGUUUUGCCAGAACCAAAUUUUCUGCCCAUGGUUUCUACUCCUUUUGGAUGCUCCUUUGCCAGAACCAAAUUUUCUGCCCAUGGUUUCUACUCCUUUUGGAUGCUCUUUUAUGUUCGCUGCUACUUCUUUUGGAUCUAAAUGUUGCUAUUACUCCUUCUGGGUUUGGUCUUAUUGCAUCUUCUGGUGUUAACCUUCUUUUUUCGGUUCCAGAAGCCCCUAUGUCUAGGGGAGCAUUCAGUCGGUUUUUGGAACUGAAUUUCAAAUUGAAUUGAAAAAAAUGCUAACCGAACUAUAUCGAAUUGAGGAAGGAACUGAAUUGAAAUGAAUUGAACCACAUUGAUUCGGACAAUCGCAAAACCUUAAGAACUUCCAUUCGUUUAGGUAAAACAGUGCCGUAAUAGAAGGGGCAAAAACAAUGAGUCAAUAUUCUCGUAGUCUUAACUCCCUAAAAUCAACAAUUACCCAGUAGAAAUCAAAGAUAUUUCUCAAAUUUGACAUCUCUGCAAAAGGAAGAAACAAAUUAAGACAAAGCCUUAGCUUAAUAAUCAACACAGCAACAUUCAAUCGACAUUUAACAAAUACCAAGAAUUAUAGAGGCCAACCCAACUCACAAUAAUAAUAUGGAGGAGAGGAGGAGGAGCUUGAAGUGAGACGCAGCAGUGAAUUUGGGAUUGGCAAAUGCCCAUAAAGCCCUGAGCCCCAAGUUGAUGAGUGAUGACUAGAUGCCCAUAAAAGGGAUUGAUUAAGCCUGUGGGAUGUAUGCAUGACUGGUUUUGACCGAGACCAAUGGGGAUCGAUCAUGGAUGGCUGUCAGGUGGGACAAGCGAUCGAUUGAGCAAGUCGACUAAGUAGAGAGAGGCAACAAAAGGAAUCGAUUGAGCAAGUCGACUAAGUAGGGAGAGGCAACAGAAGGUAUCAAUUGAGCAAGGGGAGGAGAGAGAAUCAUGUGAGAAGGGAAGUCUCUAACUCUUGUUAGGUUUUAGUAGUAGAAGGGAAACAAGGGGAUGGGAUUGAUGGACUUUCUCAGUGGCUGGGCAAAUGAGCUGGAAAAGUCAUCUCAAAUCCAUAAAGCUUCUUUUAAAUCGGUUGGUUUGGUUUUUUCCAUUAAUUUUGGUUAAUUAACCAAACCGAACUGAAAAUUGAAUUUAUUAUAAAUUGAUAACUACUGAGCCGAUCAGACUAAUUAACCAAAAUCAAAUUGAUCUGGUUCGUUGCAGUUUUUUGGCUUCGGGUGUGAUUUCUUCCAUGAUAGUGAAUCACUACAAGUUUAGAUGUAUGUACUGCUGAAUGGACAAUCUUCUUCUUCUGGAAAGUAAACGAGUGUGUCAGAAUGCAUGAUUAUGUAUAGACAAAUAUCAUGUUGUUUGUUGUGUCCGGUUGAUGUGGUUAUGACAUGGCAAAUGAAGAGGCAAGAGUAUUAGGGGCUGUCACCCAAUGGAACCCUUUUUUGUUUGGGCAUGGGACUUGUUGUAUAAGUCUAAUAGAUGUUAUGCUUAUUUCCAGUCAUUAACCCCAAAAAAGACCUAGAAUAUAAACAAACGUAAUACGCAAAGUUGUUUGAAGUCAUUAACUACCCAAAAAGAGAACUUAGAAACAAAAUAAAAAUGGGGGGCAUCUUCUCAUGUCCAAAUUAUUCUUCUGUGACUGUAUAAAGCUUGAAACAACAGUUGCCUAUCAUCUUUUUAAACUUGAUCAGUUACAAAUCUAAUUGGACACUAUUGUUAAUAAACAUAUAUGGAAGCUGAGCCGUGUAAAAUUAUGUUAUUAUUAUACAAAUUUGAGUUUUUCAUAUUCCUGAUUGCAUAUACCUGUUUAUAUGAUGCCAAAUGGUUUUUUUAGAUAAUGUAAAGAGAUACAGAAAUGGAGAACACUUUCGUCUUCUUGGUAUUUGAGAUCCCAAAUCCAUAGUGCCAUGUAUAUUUGUAAAUAGUAUUGUCUAGUACAUUGACAGUGUUAAAUUUAGGCCAGGCUUAACUCAUCCCAAACCCUAGCUCAAGGGGGAAGAGUGCUUAUGGCCUGGAACACAUUAUCCCUUUCCACAACUAAUGUGGGAUUCAACACACCCCUCACGCCUAGAAUUUUAUGAAUUUUACUGGUGCAUGACAUAUUUAUGGGAGGCCCAAUAUCGGAUGGGAGGCUCUGAUACCAUGUUAAAUUUGGGUUAUGCCUAAGUCACCCUAAAAGCUAGCUCAAGGGGG